This 352-nucleotide ribosomal RNA is filed under the name uncultured bacterium. RNAcentral describes it as "bacterial SSU rRNA". It matches the Rfam family "Bacterial small subunit ribosomal RNA", at positions 8 to 349 of the family's 1533-position model. The record is from RNAcentral.
AGAGUUUGAUCAUGGCUCAGGAUGAACGCUAGCUACAGGCUUAACACAUGCAAGUCGAGGGGAAACGACAUCGAAAGCUUGCUUUUGAUGGGCGUCGACCGGCGCACGGGUGAGUAACGCGUAUCCAACCUGCCCAUCACUUGGGGAUAACCUUGCGAAAGUAAGACUAAUACCCAAUGACGUCUCUAGAAGACAUCUGAAAGAGAUUAAAGAUUUAUCGGUGAUGGAUGGGGAUGCGUCUGAUUAGCUUGUUGGCGGGUAACGGCCACCAAGGCGACGAUCGAGUAGGGGUUCUGAGACGGAAGGUCCCCCANAUUGGAACUGAGACACGGUCCAAACUCCUACGGGAGCA